GUAAGUCUUAUGACUAAGUGAUGAUUGAGUCUUAAGUUCUAGUUUAUUGCUGCGUAAAUUUAUCAAAUUAUAUGUGUAAAAUGACGCUCAUUUCUCAAUAGAGAAAGUAGGUCGUUACAUAUAUAAUUACGUGAAUACUAUUAAAAUUAUUAACUAAUGAUAACGUUAUAAGUUUAUCGACUAAUGAGCUGUAUUUAAUAAAAUUGUCAAUUUUCCUGA
RNAcentral lists this long non-coding RNA (219 nucleotides) under Carica papaya (papaya). Its description in RNAcentral is "long non-coding RNA (CPAP_LNC004203)". The record is from RNAcentral. Lineage: Eukaryota; Viridiplantae; Streptophyta; Magnoliopsida; Brassicales; Caricaceae.